This 468-nucleotide ribosomal RNA is filed under the name uncultured bacterium. RNAcentral describes it as "partial 16S ribosomal RNA". It matches the Rfam family "Bacterial small subunit ribosomal RNA", at positions 28 to 507 of the family's 1533-position model. The record is from RNAcentral.
GACGAACGCUGGCGGCGUGCUUAACACAUGCAAGUCGAACGAAAAGGUCCUGCUUUUUUGCGGUCGUCUACUGGCCAACGGGUGAGUAACCCGUGAGUACCCUGCCCCUGACUUUGAGAUAACUUCAUGAAACUGGGGCUCAUACCGCCUAGGAGCUCCUGCUGCAUGGUGGGGGUUGGUAAGUUUAGCCGGUUGGGGAUGGACUGGCGUCUUAUCAGCUUGUUGGUUGGGUAGUGGAUUACCAAGGCUUUGACGGGUAGCCGGCCUGAGAGGGUGACAGGACACAUUGGGAUUGAGCUACGGCCCGGACUAGUACGGGAGGGAGGGGAGGAGAAUAGUGCACAAUGGGCGGAAGGAUGGUGCAGCAAAGCCGCGCGGGGGGAGAGGGGAUUGGGGUUGUAUUGUGAUUUCGCUUGUGCAGAGGCGUGAGUGACGGUAAUGGGUAAAGAAGCACCGGCUAACUACGUG